CCUACGGGGGGCAGCAGUGGGGAAUAUUGCACAAUGGGGGAAACCCUGAUGCAGCGACGCCGCGGGAGUGAAGAAGGAUUUCGGUAAGGAAAGCUCUGUCAGCAGGGAAGAAAAUGACGGUACCUGACCAAGAAGCCCCGGCUAACUACGGGCCAGCAGCCGCGGUAAUACGUAGGGGGCAAGCGUUAUCCGGAUUUACUGGGUGUAAAGGGAGCGUAGACGGCAGGGCAAGUCUGGAGUGAAAGGCGGGGGCUCAACCCCCGGACUGCUCUGGAAACUGCCAGGCUGGAGUGCAGGAGAGGUAAGUGGAAUUCCUAGUGUAGCGGUGAAAUGCGUAGAUAUUAGGAGGAACACCAGUGGCGAAGGCGGCUUACUGGACUGUAACUGACGUUGAGGCUCGAAAGCGUGGGGAGCAAACAGGAUUAGAUACCCUUGUAGUC
RNAcentral lists this ribosomal RNA (440 nucleotides) under uncultured bacterium. RNAcentral describes it as "partial 16S ribosomal RNA". It matches the Rfam family "Bacterial small subunit ribosomal RNA", at positions 338 to 795 of the family's 1533-position model. The record is from RNAcentral.